Molecule: long non-coding RNA, 864 nt
Organism: Panthera uncia (snow leopard)
Lineage: Eukaryota; Metazoa; Chordata; Mammalia; Carnivora; Felidae
Exons: 4
Source: RefSeq, a predicted model, not a curated record
CGCUGUCCGCCGACUGGGUGCUGGAGACCGAGGACACGCUGGAGCUCCGCACGAAGCCAAACGCCGCCAGCUUGGCUGCUGGGAGACUUUCUCGGGAUCCUAUGUGUGGAAAUCUUUAGAGAACCAACAGAUGCCAUGGUGGACCACUGGUGUCUCUUCCUCUACCGGGAGCUCUCCCUAAGAGUGAUAUCCCCAGAACAAUGAAAGUAUCCCCAUGUAUCAGAUGCCAUCUUCACACUAAGUUUAUGCCAACUCAAUUUUGAACAGUGCCUGUAAAACAGUAAAAGAGUUGCUAAAAAAUCAGAUGCAAUUUCAACAGAAGAAAAAUGACAUGGCCUUCUCAAUAGAUGCAGAAAAAUCUCUUGACCAAUAACAAGAUCAUCUCAUGAUAAAACACCUAACAAACCAGAAACAAUAGAAAGAUGUCCUCAACCUGAUGAGUGGAUGAAAACAAAAUGCAUAGCUAACACCAUACUCAUGGAAAAAGACUAAAUGUUUCUCCCAUAGAUCAAGAACUAGGCCAAGAUGUCUGCUUUCACCACUUCUACUCAAUAUUUUACGGAAGGUUCUAGCCAGGGCAAUUGGGCAAGAAAAUUAAAAGCCACGCAGGUUGGGAACAAGAAGCAAAUCUUUCUCGUUUUGUAGAUCACACAAUCUUGUAUGUAGAAAAUCCUGUGAAAUUUCUGAAAACGAUUAGAAUAAACGAGUUCAAUGUAUAAAAGUCAACUGUAUUUCUUAUAUACUUGCAAUAAAUAAUCCAAAAGUGAAAUUAAUAAAGUUUCAUUUACAACAUCAACAAGAUAAAAUAUUUAGGACUGUCAGAUUCCCCUUUUUUAUGUUUAACUGCGAAGAGUUAUCAGGUUU